Molecule: ribosomal RNA, 466 nt
Filed under: uncultured bacterium
Lineage: Bacteria
Description: partial 16S ribosomal RNA
Rfam family: Bacterial small subunit ribosomal RNA
Source: RNAcentral
GACGAACGCUGGCGGCGUGCUUAACAUAUGCAAGUCGAACGGAAAGGCCCUGUUUGCUGGGUACUCGAGUGGCGAACGGGUGAGUAAAACGUGGGUGAUCUGCCCUGCACUUCGGGAUAAGCUUGGGAAACUGGGUCUAAUACCGGAUAGGAGCAUUCUUCAGUGUGGUGGUUGGAAAGUUUUUUCGGUGUAGGAUGAGCUCGCGGCCUAUCAGCUUGUUGGUGGGGUAAUGGCCUACCAAGGCGGCGACGGGUAGCCGGCCUGGGAGGGUGUACGGCCACAUUGGGACUGAGAUACGGCCCAGACUCCUACGGGAGGCAGCAGUGGGGAAUAUUGCACAAUGGGCGCAAGCCUGAUGCAGCGACGCCGCGUGGGGGAUGAAGGCCUUCGGGUUGUAAACUCCUUUCGCUAGGGACGAAGCUUUGUUGUGACGGUACCUAGAUAAGAAGCACCGGCUAACUACGUG